This 253-nucleotide ribosomal RNA is filed under the name uncultured bacterium. RNAcentral's name for it is "partial 16S ribosomal RNA". It matches the Rfam family "Bacterial small subunit ribosomal RNA", at positions 524 to 776 of the family's 1533-position model. The record is from RNAcentral.
UACGGAGGGUGCAAGCGUUAUCCGGAUUCACUGGGUUUAAAGGGUGCGUAGGUGGAUCGGUAAGUCCGUGGUGAAAUCCCCGAGCUUAACUCGGGAACUGCCGUGGACACUAUCGAUCUUGAAUACUGUGGAGGUAAGCGGAAUAUGUCAUGUAGCGGUGAAAUGCUUAGAUAUGACAUAGAACACCGAUAGCGAAGGCAGCUUGCUACACAGUCAUUGACACUGAGGCACGAAAGCGUGGGGAGCAAACAGG